Molecule: ribosomal RNA, 325 nt
Filed under: uncultured bacterium
Lineage: Bacteria
Description: bacterial SSU rRNA
Rfam family: Bacterial small subunit ribosomal RNA
Source: RNAcentral
UUUAAUACCGCAUACGACCUGUGGGUNAAAGCGGGGGAUCGCAAGACCUCGCGCUAUUGGAGCGGCCGAUAUCAGAUUAGCUAGUUGGUGGGGUAAAGGCCCACCAAGGCGACGAUCUGUAGCUGGUCUGAGAGGAUGAUCAGCCACACUGGGACUGAGACACGGCCCAGACUCCUACGGGAGGCAGCAGUGGGGAAUAUUGGACAAUGGGCGAAAGCCUGAUCCAGCAAUGCCGCGUGAGUGAUGAAGGCCUUAGGGUUGUAAAGCUCUUUUACCCGAGAUGAUAAUGACAGUAUCGGGAGAAUAAGCUCCGGCUAACUCCGUG